GCAAGCAGCAGCAGGAUGGCGCCGCAGCCCCAACUCCUCGUCUGCCUGGCGCUCUGGAUGUCAGGUGCCUGUGGGGAUAUUGUGAUGACCCAGUCUCCAGGCUCCCUGGCUGCCUCUGUGGGACAGAGGGUCACCAUCAACUGCAAGUCCAGCCAGAGUCUUUUAUCAAGCUCCAACCAGAAGAAUUACUUAGCCUGGCACCAGCAGAAACCAGGACAAGCUCCUAAACUGCUCAUCUCCUGGGCAUCCACCCGGGCACCUGGGAUUCCUGACCGAUUCAGUGGCAGUGGGUCUGGGGAAGAUUUCACUCUCACCAUCAGCAGCCUCCGGCCUGAAGACACGGCGGCUUACUAUUGUCAGCAGUAUUAUAGCGCUCCUCCCACAGUGUGUCACCCGCAGACACAAACCCCCUCCCCGGGCCUGUGGGUCAGUCAGUCUCUGCUACACCAGCUGCUUCCUUCCUGCUUCUCCCUCACUGAAUGA
This is a non-coding RNA of Tupaia belangeri chinensis (Chinese tree shrew), 483 nucleotides long. The record is from the annotation of a RefSeq genome assembly. Lineage: Eukaryota; Metazoa; Chordata; Mammalia; Scandentia; Tupaiidae.